Nicotiana tabacum (common tobacco) is the source of this 1077-nucleotide non-coding RNA. The record is from RefSeq and is a predicted model, not a curated record. Lineage: Eukaryota; Viridiplantae; Streptophyta; Magnoliopsida; Solanales; Solanaceae.
UCAGCUCAUGAGCUAGCUUUUGAAAUUGAAUUAGACCAAAUGUCCAUUUUGUUGACAAUAGUUAAAUGGAUAGACCAAAAGUCUAAUUUGUUGUCAAUUGUUAUGUGUCUCUGGCAUAUCGCCUAACCACACUUUCUCUAGAACAAUUAAGCUUUGAUUCUUAUAGUCUUAAAGAGUCCAAUUUUAUAUCUUUUCACAUCCUACAUGAAAUAACUUGAAAACUGUCAUAUCUCUAUUAAACUCUUAUUUUACCCAGGGUAAGAUUUAGGUUUGGAGGUGAUUUCAUUUUAAUCAAAGAGAUCAAGUUUUCCAGUUAUGAAUUUAUGAUGUAUCAUGAACAUAUUCUUGUCUUUCUGCCCAAAUCUGGAAGCAGCCUCUUGCUGUGAAUAACGUUCUGCAUAGUAUGUUCGUCCAGUCUUGUUAAUUAAGAUUUUGAACAAAUCUAUGAAUAAAGUUUGUAUUGUUGUUUGAUUGCAACACAGAGGUUUUGGUAACAAACUGGAAUCACAAACUAUUUGAUGCUCAGGUGCGAGUUAAUGGUCCAGAUGCCGCCCCAGUGUACAAAUUCCUUAAAGCAAGCAAAGGUGGUUUUUUAGGUUCCAGAAUUAAGUGGAAUUUCACCAAGUUUUUGGUUGAUAAGGAAGGGAAAGUUAUCAGGCGCUAUGGCUCAACUACUCCACCAUUAUCAAUCAAGGCUGUUAUCGAAAAGGCAAUAAGGGAGAAUUGACAAGGUUGUGUCUAGUUCAGAAGUGCAGUCAAUUAAACUUGCGAUAUAAAGAAGAGAGAGCGAAAGAAGCUUUCUGUCAAAUGCAAUUUUCUUAUUCUUGUCGUGUGCUUUUAAGUUCAUUCCUUUUGGUGAUGUUGAGGUGGUUUUCAGCCUUUUGUUUGGAGGAUUCAUGUGUUGCAGACAUGAAAACGUAACUAAAUUGGUCCUUAUUACCUAAUAUUGUACAUUUUCCACUAUCCUUUUAUGUAUACUGAUUAUUAACUGUUAGAGAUCGUUCGGUUCACAAACAAGUUUUGUAUGGAUUAUAAUGCAGAAUUAUAUACAGUCACAAUUAUUGUUGGAUUAUUUUA